This 253-nucleotide ribosomal RNA is filed under the name uncultured bacterium. Its description in RNAcentral is "partial 16S ribosomal RNA". It matches the Rfam family "Bacterial small subunit ribosomal RNA", at positions 524 to 776 of the family's 1533-position model. The record is from RNAcentral.
UACUUAGGGUGCGAGCGUUGUCCGGAAUUAUUGGGCGUAAAGAGCUCGUAGGCGGUUUGUCGCGUCGGCUGUGAAAACUGGAGGCUUAACCUUCAGCGUGCAGUCGAUACGGGCAGACUUGAGUUCGGUAGGGGAGUCUGGAAUUCCUGGUGUAGCGGUGAAAUGCGCAGAUAUCAGGAGGAACACCGGUGGCGAAGGCGGGACUCUGGGCCGAUACUGACGCUGAGGAGCGAAAGCGUGGGGAGCGAACAGG